RNAcentral lists this transfer RNA (72 nucleotides) under Camelus bactrianus (Bactrian camel). It matches the Rfam family "tRNA". From Rfam's summary of the family: Transfer RNA (tRNA) molecules are approximately 80 nucleotides in length. Their secondary structure includes four short double-helical elements and three loops (D, anti-codon, and T loops). Further hydrogen bonds mediate the characteristic L-shaped molecular structure. tRNAs have two regions of fundamental functional importance: the anti-codon, which is responsible for specific mRNA codon recognition, and the 3' end, to which the tRNAs corresponding amino acid is attached (by aminoacyl-tRNA synthetases). tRNAs cope with the degeneracy of the genetic code in two manners: having more than one tRNA (with a specific anti-codon) for a particular amino acid; and 'wobble' base-pairing, i.e. permitting non-standard base-pairing at the 3rd anti-codon position. Lineage: Eukaryota; Metazoa; Chordata; Mammalia; Artiodactyla; Camelidae. The record is from Rfam by way of RNAcentral. RNAcentral also lists the same sequence under 2 other names.
GGGGUUAUAGCUCAGUAGUAGAGUGCACGCUCAGCACAUUCAAGGUCCUGGGUUCAAACCCCAGUACCUCCA